RNAcentral lists this ribosomal RNA (455 nucleotides) under Globigerinoides sacculifer. Its description in RNAcentral is "partial 18S ribosomal RNA". It matches the Rfam family "Eukaryotic small subunit ribosomal RNA", at positions 1211 to 1459 of the family's 1831-position model. The record is from RNAcentral. Lineage: Eukaryota; Foraminifera; Rotaliida; Globigerinidae.
AAUCUUACCAGGUCCAGACAUAUGGAGGAUUGACAGACAGUUAACCAAAACGCAGCAGCUAGUUUAACAAAACUAACAGCUCUUUCAAGAUUAUGUGGUAGGUGGUGCAUGGCCGUUCUUAGUUCGUGAAGUGAUUCGUUCGCCCAAUCGCAUUUCCAAACAACUAACAACUCAGAAUGCUGGGCAAUAGGACGUUUAAAGUGGCUCCUUACACCUUACAAAGGAAUGGCUGAUGAGAAACAACUCGAUCCGCUCAGCGUUCUAUUGGAAUGCAACGGACGUGAUUGCAAGCUUUUGUUUUGAGUUGCGGUUUUACUGAAAGACUCUACAAUCCGCAAACUUCAAUGAUCUGAAGUAGAAAACCUACAUGCUACAGUGAGAUAUUGUGGAUAAACUUAAGCGACCGCUCCAACAUUGUGUUUUUUUAAAACUGAUGAAGGUUGCGGCAAUAACAG